Molecule: ribosomal RNA, 253 nt
Filed under: uncultured bacterium
Lineage: Bacteria
Description: partial 16S ribosomal RNA
Rfam family: Bacterial small subunit ribosomal RNA
Source: RNAcentral
UACGUAGGGUGCAAGCGUUAAUCGGAAUUACUGGGCGUAAAGCGUGCGCAGGCGGUUAUAUAAGACAGAUGUGAAAUCCCCGGGCUCAACCUGGGAACUGCAUUAGUGACUGUAUAGCUAGAGUGCGGCAGAGGGGGAUGGAAUUCCGCGUGUAGCAGUGAAAUGCGUAGAUAUGCGGAGGAACACCGAUGGCGAAGGCAAUCCCCUGGGCCUGCACUGACGCUCAUGCACGAAAGCGUGGGGAGCAAACAGG